AGCGAACGCUGGCGGCAGGCUUAACACAUGCAAGUCGAGCGGGCGUAGCAAUACGUCAGCGGCAGACGGGUGAGUAACGCGUGGGAACGUACCUUUUGGUUCGGAACAACACAGGGAAACUUGUGCUAAUACCGGAUAAGCCCUUACGGGGAAAGAUUUAUCGCCGAAAGAUCGGCCCGCGUCUGAUUAGCUAGUUGGUGAGGUAACGGCUCACCAAGGCGACGAUCAGUAGCUGGUCUGAGAGGAUGAUCAGCCACAUUGGGACUGAGACACGGCCCAAACUCCUACGGGAGGCAGCAGUGGGGAAUAUUGGACAAUGGGGGCAACCCUGAUCCAGCCAUGCCGCGUGAGUGAUGAAGGCACUAGGGUUGUAAAGCUCUUUUGUGCGGGAAGAUAAUGACGGUACCGAAAGAAUAAGCCCCGGCUAACUUCGUG
This 435-nucleotide ribosomal RNA is filed under the name uncultured bacterium. RNAcentral's name for it is "partial 16S ribosomal RNA". It matches the Rfam family "Bacterial small subunit ribosomal RNA", at positions 29 to 507 of the family's 1533-position model. The record is from RNAcentral.